Molecule: ribosomal RNA, 497 nt
Filed under: uncultured bacterium
Lineage: Bacteria
Description: partial 16S ribosomal RNA
Rfam family: Bacterial small subunit ribosomal RNA
Source: RNAcentral
GAUGAACGCUGGCGGCGUGCCUAAUACAUGCAAGUCGAGCGAACAGACGAUGAUCUUGCUGCUCUCACGUUAGCCGCGGACGGGUGAGUCACGCGUGUAUACCCUCCCUAUAUGACUGGGAUCACUUCGGGAAACCGGAUCUAAUCCCGUAUAAUCUCUUGAACCGCGUGGGUCAAUGGUAAGUGACGGUUUUUCUGUCUCUUAUCGCUGGUUCCGCGCCGUAUUAGCUAGUUGGUAAGGUAACGGCUUAGCAAGGCAACGAUGCGUAGCCGAACUGAGAGGGGGAUCGGCCACACGGGAACGGAGACAGGGUCCAGACUCCUACGGGAGGCAGCAGUAGGGAAUGUUCCGCAAUGGGGGAAAGCCUGACGGAGCAACGCCGCGUGAGUGAUGAAGGUCUUCGGAUCGUAAAACUCUGUUAUUAGGGAAGAACAAAUGUGUAAGGAACCAUGGACGUCUUGACGGUACCUAAUAAGAAAGCCACGGCUAACUACGUG